RNAcentral lists this ribosomal RNA (510 nucleotides) under uncultured bacterium. Its description in RNAcentral is "partial 16S ribosomal RNA". It matches the Rfam family "Bacterial small subunit ribosomal RNA", at positions 28 to 507 of the family's 1533-position model. The record is from RNAcentral.
GACGAACGCUGGCGGCGUGCUUAACACAUGCAAGUCGAACGAAGAGCGAUGGAAGCUUGCUUCUAUCAAUCUUAGUGGCGAACGGGUGAGUAACGCGUAAUCAACCUGCCCUUCAGAGGGGGACAACAGUUGGAAACGACUGCUAAUACCGCAUACGAUCUAACCUCGGCAUCGAGGAUAGAUGAAAGGUGGCCUCUACAUGUAAGCUAUCACUGCAGGAGGGGAUUGCGUCUGAUUAGCUAGUUGGAUGGGUAACGGCCCACCAAGGCGAUGAUGAGUAGCCGGUCUGAGAGGAUGAACGGCCACAUUGGGACUGAGACACGGCCCAGACUUCUACGGGAGGCAGCAGUGGGGAAUCUUCCGCAAUGGACGAAAGUCUGACGGAGCAACGCCGCGUGAGUGAUGACGGCCUUCGGGUUGUAAAGCUCUGUUAAUCGGGACGAAAGGCCUUCUUGCGAAUAGGGAGAAGGAUUGACGGUACCGGAAUAGAAAGCCACGGCUAACUACGUG